This 30-nucleotide non-coding RNA is filed under the name Xenopus tropicalis (tropical clawed frog). Lineage: Eukaryota; Metazoa; Chordata; Amphibia; Anura; Pipidae. RNAcentral also lists the same sequence under 7 other names. The record is from RNAcentral.
GCCGCGGCCCGGGUUCGAUUCCCGGUCAGG